Nicotiana tabacum (common tobacco) is the source of this 319-nucleotide non-coding RNA. The record is from RefSeq and is a predicted model, not a curated record. NCBI's taxonomy places the organism in Eukaryota, Viridiplantae, Streptophyta, Magnoliopsida, Solanales, Solanaceae.
UUUCUAUUCCGUUCACGCUCUCUUUCUCUCUCUAGGAUGCGCAGCUCUUCCUCUUCUCAGAUGUGUAACAUUAAGCUCCUCUUGCUUUUGGUGCUUUGAGUUGUUUUCCUACCUUGGCAACACCUGUGUUUCAUGGGGAUCAACAAUAUAUUUUUAGGGUUAAACAUUAUCUCUUCAGAUUCGGAGCAUUUGGAGAUUGAUUCAAGGGGCAAAGGCAUUACGGAGUAGGAGUUUUACGCGUUUGAGGUGUGUAUGGUGACGGUCGCUGAGUUCGUGCGCGGGUUGAUUAUCAGAGACUUACGAGGUAGCUGCCGGCGUC